ACAUGUUGUAUGUCAUUUUGGCAUAAAGUUUGGAUUCUGAUUAUCUUCAGAUUUCUUUCAGAUUUUUUGUAUUGUUAACUUCUUCAGAAGAUUUAGAAAUUUACUUUUGGAAGAAAUUUGUUAAUACAAACCAAUUUGAAAAAGAUUCUAUUAAAUCAUGAAUAUGGAUGAUAUGAUUUAAUUAAAAGAUUUGGAUUUGAUUUAGUCAAAGAAGAUUUG
RNAcentral lists this long non-coding RNA (219 nucleotides) under Lathyrus oleraceus (garden pea). RNAcentral describes it as "Pisum sativum (pea) long non-coding RNA (PSAT_LNC024168)". The record is from RNAcentral. Lineage: Eukaryota; Viridiplantae; Streptophyta; Magnoliopsida; Fabales; Fabaceae.